RNAcentral lists this long non-coding RNA (11906 nucleotides) under Homo sapiens (human). RNAcentral describes it as "HSALNT0343599". Lineage: Eukaryota; Metazoa; Chordata; Mammalia; Primates; Hominidae. The record is from RNAcentral.
CCUUGGGAUCUGCCUGCCUUGGCCUCCCAAAGUGCUGGGAUUACAGGCGUGAGCCACUGCACCUGGCAUAAUUUUGGCUACUCUUAAUCAACCCCAGAAGGUUUAAUAAGAACUUUGAUUAGCUACUUUCUAGCUUCAUGAAUUUACCAAGCUAUUCCUGGUUUUGCACCUUUAAGAAACUCAUUUUUUAAAUCUGAUGAAUAUAUGUCCAUAAGAAGCUUUACUUGGUUAAAAUUAAAUACAUACAAAAUUGACAGAAAAAUUAUUUUGUCAAAGAAAAAUGAACGAAGAGUAGUGUCAUUUUUCAUUGUCACAUUCAUUUCUCUAAGAAAUGGAUCUGUCCUUCAACAUCUCCUCCUAGCCCAUACUGUUUGAAUAUAGAGGGCUCUUGGGCCAUGGUCCGGGGAUUAUUUAUAAUCAGCAACAAGGGGUUACAGUGUCAUGGCUUACAAUUUGGUGGGGUGGGACCAGGGACUAGUUGGAGUUUUUUGUUUUGGUCGUCAUAAUUUAUUUGAAGCAGGGAGCUUGGCUCUCCACCCUUUGUACUUAUUAGUCCACCAAACAUCUGCCCAGUCACCACUGGGACUUUUAACACUCCAUACUUAUACAUGCUUGAUUUUUUGUGGUAUAGACAUAGACACUUAUCAACAUGGGCUAGCUUCUUUUGACCUUGCUCAUCUCCAUACGGGAUGACUGAACAGGCAUCAAACUGAAGGGUUAAAAAAUGACUAGCCUGAGUUACACUGAUGACAAGAUGACCUUCUGUUGAAAAGAAAAAAGAGAAUAAAUAAGUGAUUAUUAAGCUCUUUUUAGAGUUAAUUUGGUGGGGGUGGGCUGUGGAGUGACAGUUCAUGAUUCUGGAGGUGGCGGCACCUUCUUGACUCGGGUGUGAUGAGUCCAUCCUCUUUCUGUUGUCCAGACUGCAGUCUCAGUACAUAGGAGCACUAGGUAGGGUCCUUCCCAGGCUGGUUCGAGCUUCCUUUUCUUCUACCCUUGGAUGAGAACAUGGUCUCAAGGCCAAUGCUGAUGUUCUGGAAACUCCAGGGGUGAUGCCUGUGCUAGGAGACCUUUAGUCCCAAGGGAAAAGAAGGUAGAGCCUAGACCAAGUAUAUAAUUUUUGAGGAAAUGAUCCUUUGUUUCAAACAUAGGGAUGUCAGCAAUGGAGUGUAAGUAGGGCAUUCCAUAGAGCGUUUCCUCAGGUGACAGGCCAAUAUCUUUCCAAGGGGCAGUCCGGAUUCUUAACCAAGCAAUAGGAGUAUAUUUAGUCCAUGGCAAUCGAGUUUCUAAAACUAAGUUAAGUGGUUUAUUAGAGUCUGAUUCAUCCACUCUACUCUUCCUGUGGAGGAUGGAUGCCAAGGAGUAUGGUAUUCCCAAUGUAUAUCUAGUACCUGUGCUAACUUCUUAAUGACAUGCACAGUGAAAUGGGUUGCAGUAUCUGAAUCAGUAUUUUCUAUUAGUUCAAAUCUGGGUAUGAUGUUUUCAAUUAGCGCUUUAACUACAUUACUGGAGGUUGCACGUGAGAAUGGGAUUGCCUCUACCCAGUGGGUAAAAUGGUCUAUUAUUACUAAUAAGUAUAACUACCAAUUGGAGGCAUUUCAGUGUAAUUGAUCUGAACACUUUGAAAUGGUCUCAGUGCUGGAUUUCUUCCACCAAGGCGCAAUUUCCUUAGAUCCUGCUUAUUAGCUUUUUUUACAUGUUAAGCAACUAUCUAUAACUUGUUUGGCCAGGGUGUAAAUUCUUAUACACCCAUAAACCCGGAGAACUGCAUUGCACAUUGCUUGGGGUCCCCAAUGGGUCCCUUGAUGUAAUUGAGACAAGACUUCCCUCAUGAGAGGUUUUGACAACAUUUCCCUUUGAUCUGAUAAUAUCCAUUUCCUAUCCGCAUUUUCUUUAGCUCCUAUUUUUAUCAACGUCUUUUGUUCAAUGGAAGAGAAAACGGGUUACAGUAGGAGGAGGGCAUGGAGUUAAAUGGAAGAAAUGGCAACUUGUUUUGCUAUUUUAUUGUAACCGACUGAGUUAUAGAGAGAAUGCCACAGUCUGAGACUAAUUCAGUGAUCCUUUAUUGCCAGCAACCGAGAGACGGCUAGAGCUCAAAAUUCUCUCAGCCCCGAAGAAGGGGCUACACAUCUUUUUACACCUUGGUCUAAAGAGGGGAGGAGGAGUGUAGCUGAAGCAAUUUUUUACAGAAGCAGAACAGGCAAAAAAGUUGAAAGAUAAAUGGUUACAGAAACAGUAAUAAGAAAAUAAACAGUUCCAGGUGCAGGGGCUUAAAUUAUCACAAAGUGAUAAACGCAAAGGCUUUGGGCACCGUCAACCGAGUGCGUUCCCAGGAGCUGCUGGUACAGCUUGCCUCAGUAUCUUAUCAGUAAGCGCAUUCUUGGAUGUGCUUGGAGUCAGCUUGCACCAGUUAUGUCCUUAAGGGAGGGGGACAAGGGGCUGCAAGUGAAGAAACCAAAAUGGAGUCUGUCCAGCUCUCUCAGCUAAGAGAGAGUCAAUCAGGUUAAAAGAAGUUAGGGUAUCACAUUUCCCACUCGUGUUUGGGGGAAUCAGAUCAUUGAUUCCUCGGUUAUAACAAGGGUGUUAUAUUGGGUUCUAAGAUACAUAAGAUUGACAGAAGCUAUGCGUUGCUUUACAAAAUUAAGAAACCAAUUUAAUAUACAAGGCCUGAAGACUAACCCUAACAAGAGGAGGAGAAGGGGGUCCCGCCAACCCAGUAAUUAGAGUAGUUAGCCAGGGAUUCCAGUUAAACAUGCUUUGGUACUUUGGUACUCCAGGAAUGAGAAAGGUGGUGUUACUUUCUUGUUCCUUCUGGCAUCUAUCUAGAUUUUCUCGAACUCUUUGAAGAGUAUUUUUUAUGACUCCAGACUGAUUGGCAUAGAAACAACAACUUUCUUCUAGAGCUGUGCAUAAACCUCCUUGGGAGAUAAAUAGCAGAUCUAAGCCUCGGCGGUUUUGAAGAACUACUUCAGCUAGAGACUCUACCUGGGCAUGUAGUAUAUUUAUGGCUGAUUGGAGAUUGCUUAAAUCAGCAUCUACCUGUUGAGAUAGUGAUAUUAGUCCAGUUUCUCCUUGAAUCAGGGCAGUCGUGCCAAUAGCUGCUGACGUAGCUAUGCUAAGGCCAGCUAGAAGGGGUACAAGGAGUAGGGCAGCUCGGUGAAACCUGAAAUGCAAUUCAGGGGGAGCAAUGAGAAGUUGUCCUUCUGGCCCACUGUACAUGUAGAUCUGGGGGAGUACAUGAAUCAACAUGCAUAGGAGAGGUCCAGGUUCAGUCCCAUUGAUGCAGCGAGUGAGGCCUGAAAUGCAGGCCAACCAGGUAUUUUUGGGUGCCUGGUAGGAGACUGAGGGGUUUAAGGAAGUAAGGAGAGACUCACUACAAGUAGCCUGAAAGGGAGAAGCAGGUAAGUUAUACCUUGCGCUAAUUAGACAGAAGGCAUUCCCUGACACAUCUCCUAGUGUAAGGGCAUGGGGGCACGUAUGACAAGAAAGAGAGUCCAUUUUGAGCAUGGCUUCUACUCCUAAUCCAACAUAAUAUGGGGGUUUGGCCUUUCGGCACAACCAGCAAUCUCAGGCUAGUUUAGGCUUGGUGAGAUUAAGGAGGUGAUGUAUCCCGUCCAAAAUGGACAUCGGGCUGGGUUGGAGGUAUUGUCAUUGCAGCUGGGGUCUCAGAACCAGGAAUGGCAGUGGGACAGUUAAAUCGACUCUCUCUGGGUGUUUUUGGAACAUAGGGUCACCUAAAUCAGUUAAAGUUCUGAUUGGCUUCAUGGGACCAGGAAUUUUUUCUGGAUGGUGAACAUAGUUCCAACAUCAAAUCCUGAAAUAUAAAGCCUUAAUCCCUAUGACAUGCUGUAAUACCAUUGAGUUAAACUAGGGUUACGGAGAGUUAUAGUAAGAGGAUUACAAUUUCCUAUAGUACACGGCUUAGGAUGGGAAGCACAAGCUAUGGAAAGGGUUGAGGAUCAGGUUCAUCCUCCAGAGUAAGUGGCCAAGGUUACACACAUGCAGUAAGGGCAGAAAAACUGGUAAGAAUCUCGACAACUAGAGUCAGGGCGAUUUCCAGGACAAAGGUAAAAGUCAACGCUCUGGAGCCUUUUUUCUGCACCCUUAGAACUUCCACAUCCAGUUUGGCUUCUGGUGUGUCCGAACCCUGCAGCAAGGUCAGCGUUCCCUGCUCUCAUGAUCGGCAGAUUGCAUUGCUCUUCAAGGGUAUGGGCAGGGUCGGGGAACAAAGCACAUAAACCGACUACAAAAGAGACUUCCUUGGAGGGUCCCACCUUCCAAGUGGUGUUUGCAAACACACAUCCUGUCAUGAAGGAAGUGAGGAGAAAAGAGUAGGAAGGGGCAGAGGACAUAACAGGUGGAAACAGACAGAAGAGGUAAAUAAAAAGAAUUAAUUCGAUAGCUUUACUCAACUUAGGCGCAGUUUUAAGGGGCCUGGCCUAGGCUUGGGGACCCAUUUUUUUUGCUGGGCUUUGUUGGCCUUUUUGAUGCGAGAAUGAUGAAUCCAAGCAGGAGUGCCGUCCACCUUCAGAGCUGUUGGUGUGGUGAGGAUGACAGUAUGAGGUCCUUUCCAGGCAGGAGUCAGUCCUUUUUUCUGGAACUUUUUAACAUACACUAGGUCACCCAGCUGGAAAGAGUGGCAGGGCCCAGUCUGGUCAGGAACUGGGCUGGGGUGUGCUCCCCUGACAAGCAGCUGGAUGAUGUCUUGUACCCGUUGGAGAGACUGCAGGUACUGUAACAAGUUAGCUUGUGAGAUUUCUGCUAAAUGGGUAUCCUUUAGCUUAGGCAAGAUAGGCGGAGCCCUUCCAUACAUGAUUUCAAAAGGUGAAAACCCAGCCUGGUAAGGGGUGCAUCUUACUCUAAGAAGGGCUAAAGGAAGGAGCUUUACCUAGUUUUCACUGGUUUCUAGGAUUAAUUUUGCAAGAGUACUUUUUAGGAUGGGGUUCAUGCAUUCUACUUGUCCAGAGCUCUGGGGUCGAUAGGCACAAUGGAGUUUCCAUUGAAUGUUUAAUGCCUUGCUGACCGACUGAGCUAUGGACGAGGUGAAGGCUGGUCCAUUAUCAGACCUUAUUACAACAGGCAGUCCAUGUUGAGGGAUGAUUUCAUUGAGUAAAAGCUUAACUACCGUGGUAGCAGUUUCGUUUUUGGUGGCAAAUGCCUCAGUCCAUCCAGAAAAGGUGUCUACUAGCACCAGGAGGUAUUUAUACCCUGCCAAGUGUGGUUUUACCUCUGUAAAGUCAAUUUCCCACCUUCCUCCUGGCAAGCCUCCCUGGAGGCGGUGGCCUGGGCUGGGCUUAGGACCUUGCUUGGUGUUUACUUGGGCACAAGCCGUUUACUGGAGAGCUGCUUGGUUAGUUAAGUCCUGAAGGUGGGGGAUCUUGAAAUGGCUCCUUAGAAGCUGGGCCAGUUUUACUCCUCCUAAAUGGGUGGUAGAAUGUAGAUGAUUGAUAAAAGUUUCCCCAAGGGCUUGGGGCAUGAAGAUUCUGGAAUCAGGAAGAAUUCACCAACCUUCCUGAUUUUUACUGGCUUGAAGAUCCGAAGCUUGUUUUUCUUCCUCUGGGGAGUAUUCUGGGUAGUCUGCCCAGUCAGUUGUGGAAAGGACACAGAGGGCAGCAGGGUUAAAGGCACGACCAGGAGCUGAGCUGCCUCUCAAGCUGCAGAGUCUGCUCUUUGGUUACCACGAGCAAUGGCCAUGUCUUCUCUUUGAUGUCCUUUGCAGUGAAUUGCAGCCACCUGUUGAGGGAGCCAAACAGCUUCAAGCAGGGCUAAAAUUUCUUCUUUGUUGUUGACACUCUUUCCUGCUGAGGUAGGAAAUGCUGGGAAGAAAAAGCUGGGCCUUCUUGGCUGGGACCUGAUACCCGAAUUCCUGAAGGAGGUAAAGUAGGUCCGUAGUAUGUUGCAGGCAGCUGUCAGUAGUUUCAGUAGCCAAUAACAGGUCGUCUACAUACUGGAGAAGAGUGCAGUUAGGGUGACUGGCUCAGAAUGGUAAAAGAUCCUGUUGGAGGGCUUCCCUAAAAAGGGUGGGGGAAUUUUUAAAACUUCGGGGUAACCAAGUCCAGGUUAAUUGGGUGGUGUCUACCGAGCCAGGAUAUGUCUGUUCAAAAGCAAAGAUAGGUUGACUUUUGGGGCCAGAGGAAUAGCAAAAAAAAGCAUCCUUGAAGUCAAGGACAGUGUACACCAUAUGUUCUGGUGGGAGCAGGCUGAGUAAAGUAUAAGGGUUAGAGACAGUUGGAUGGACAGUGACUGUCUGCUUGUUACCUUCCUGCAAGUCCUGUACAGGCUGGUAAUCAUUUGUUCCGGGUUUCUGGACCGGCAAAAAUGGAAUAUUCCAGGCGAUCUCACAUGGUGUGAGUAUACCAGCUUGUAAUAGUUGCUGAAUAUGAGGAUUAAUUCCCUCUAUAGCCCACAGAAUCAUAGGAUAUUGUUUGACCUGGACCGGCAGGGUGGUGGCCAGGAGUUCUACAACAGCUGGCAGAUGGUGGUUUGCCAGUCCUGGGAGGUAUGAGGAAACAGAGUCUGUAAAGCCAGUAGGAGAGGAUUACUUUUAUUCUCCGGCAGUUGUGAGGGUGAAACUAAGAGAUAUUCCUCUGACCGAAGGGUGGUUAGCAGGAGCUGAGCAGUAGGGGGCAUUGUGUCCCCUAACAUGAGGUGAGUUUGUUGGGCCGAGAAGGAGAUGGACGCCUGUAGCUUAUGAAGCAGGUCUCAUCCGAGGAGGGAGAAGGGGCACUCUGGGACCACGAGGAACAAGUGGGUUACUCUUUUCUGUCCUAAACUCACCUCUCGUGAGUGGGUGACAGGAUAUUCCUGAAUAGCUCCAGUAGCCCUUUACUCAGCAACCUUUUUAUUAGACACUGCCUAAGGGUGUCUGGAGUACUGAGUGUUCCACCCCGGUGUCAAUUAGGAAGCGUACAGGCUGGCCCCCCACUGUGGUGGUCACCAUGGGUUCCCGGGGCCAAGUGACAAAGAGCCCUGGCCCCGUCAAUCAUCAGAUUCCUCUGCUGCGGGGCAGGGUGAGGACCUUUUUCUUUUCUGGUUUCUCCUCUGGCUUUAAUGGGCAUUCCUUUCUCCAGUGUCCAAUCUGCUUGCAAGAAGCACAUUGGUUUCUUUAUAGGGGAGUCCUCUCACGUUUCUGGCCUUCCUGGUGGGGACUCGGGGUCCCCUGGUCAGUGCUCUGUGAUGGGGGCCCUUCCUUUUUGGCUUCUUGGAUGGCAGCCACUAAGCUUUUUGCCUGUCUUUUUGAUGCUUUGUCUGCAGCCCUUUCAGCUGCCUGAGCUACCUGUUUUUGCUUUUCAAAUUCUCGAUUGUCGAAAACUCUCUGGGCUAUCUCUAAAAGCUGGCUGAUGUAAGGAAAUACUUUCUGGCUUCUCUUCAGAUAUGGUCCCUCUCUUCAGAGGUGAAAAGGGAUGAAAGGAGUUGCUGACACUCAUCCCAGGUGGGCCGGUGAGUCUGGAGCACAGACUCCAUCAGUGAGGUUAAGACCUGGGGCUUUUCAGAAAAGGGGGGAUUAUGAGCCUUCCAGUUGUACAGGUCAGAAGUAGAGAAGGGGACAUAAACUAAAAAUGGAGCACAACGCCCACUGCCCAAAGGGAUUUGGGCCUCUGUCAGUGGGAGGAGCGGGGCCACCUCCUCCGGCUGAGGCCAUAAUUGGGAGGAUAUAGGCAGAGAGGCCACAGAGGAUGUAGUUGAGGAGACAAGGGAAGAUUCUGGGGGAGGAGGAGGGUUAUAGGGUGGUGGAAAUGGGUGAAGAAAACUUUCCUCUUCUUCAGAAGGAGGCAGUACAGGAGGAAUCGAGGGAGCUGAGGGUGGAGGCAAAAGUGAGGUCUGGCUAAAAAGGACCUUGGAGGUAGGAUCACGAAUGGCUACAGAGUUUUAUCACGAGUGGAGCCAUGAAGGAGAGCUCUGGACUAAAUCUAGCCAUUGAUCAAUGUAGGGAAACUGAUCGGGGUGACCGGGAGUUCCAACAACGACCCACCACACAGCCUGAACAGCUGUGAAGUGUAGUGACCCGUCUGGGGGCCACCCAGUUCCAAACUUUGGCCAUUCUACUUCGCAGAGUGUCCAGAGUUUGCCUUUUUUAAGGCGGACCCCGUAAUCAUCUGAGAAGCCUAGAGAGAAAUUCUGCAACAUACACUGGAGAGGACUCCAAUCUUUAUGGGGCCGGGAAGAAGAGUUUACUAUUCUGGAGGCAAUUAACAAGGAAAGGCAGGACUGGGAUGGCCAGCCCAACCGACUAAUGAGGAAUUUGACCUCCUGGGAUAGAAAAUCUGUACUAAGGACCUUGAAGAAGUCCUUGCCCAGUCAUUUUGGGCAGUAUCGACGAUCCGACAUAUGAAAUUUAGACAGACACUAAACAGGACAAUAGGCACUGGGGUAUAUAAACAAGCAUGGCAAUUUUUAUAGACAGACAAGGGGAGGGGGUCCCGUGAUGGGAUCAGUCAGAUGCCCUCCUGGCUGCUCCCCUUUCGGGGACUUAGGCUCCUCUUGGCAUUGGCAGGCUGGUAUAAACCCCUGGCUUGGAUCGAGCUAUGCCUGAUGCCGCCCUAAGCCUUAUGAGGUCACCACGGAACCACAGGUGAGGGCCUUCUCGAAUUCCCUAGCUUUCACCCUGGAGCUACAAACUGGAAAUUCAAGCGCAAGCCCUUGAACUCCACAUUCACUCACUCACUCACUCACUCAGAGUUUAUUACAAUUUUUAUACCCAUUCUAAAACAGAGAUCUCCCGGAGACCUGAAUGAGAGAGGGAGAAGAGAUAGAGAGAGAGAGAGACUAGACUUAACAGAGAAUCCUGACAGAAACCAGGACUCUGUCCUCCAGUGUCCUGGAGCAUGGACAGAGUCUGAGGGAGGACCUUCGUCAGGGCCGUUUCCCUCCCAGAGAGACAGAGUCAGAUCUGACUUACCUUCCCGGGACUAGAGACUGAGGACUCAGGAGUUGAAUUUGGCUGGGCGCACCGGCAGUCGAUCCGUUCCCCUCCAGAAGACAGUGGCCUGUGGAGCCCUGGAACGUCUUCAGGUGGCCCUGUAAGCCAGCUGUCUGUCUGGGGAAGCCCGGAAUGAGUCAGGUCUUCACCCGGUGGCGAAUCUCUCUGGGGCUUCCAAAUGUCGUAACCGAGCAAGUCAUAGAGAGAAUGCCACACUCUGAGACUAAUUCAGGAGUCCUUUAUUGCUGGCGACUGAGAAAGAGCUAGAGCUUGAAAUUCUCUCGGUCCGGAAGAAGAGGCUAGAGUUCUUUUUAUACCUUGGCCUAAAGAGGGGAGGGGGAGUCUAGCUGAAGCAAUUUUUUACAGAAGCAGAACAGGAAAAAAUUAAAAGAUAAAUGGUUACAGAAACAGUUACAGGAAAAUAAACAGUUCCAGGUGCAGGGGCUUAAAGUAUCCCAAAGUGAUAAAAGCAGGGGCUUUGGAUACCACCAACCAAGUGUGCUCCCAGGAGCUGCUGGUACAGCUUGCCUCAGUAUCUUAUCAAUAAGCGCAUUCUUGGAUGUGCUUGGAGUCAGCUUGCACCAGUUAUGUCCUUAAGGAGGGGGACAAGGGGCUGCAAGCGAAGAAACCAAGCUAAGACUCUCUCAGCUAUUGACUCUCUCGAUAUUGACUCUCAAUUGAGUCUCCCAAGCUAUUGACUCUCUCAGCUAAGAAAGAGUCAAUCAGGAUAAAACAAGAUAGGGUAUCACAAUUUGAUCUGCAAGAUUAUUUCCUGGACUUGUGAAAGGCGAGUCGUUUUGGUGCCCUGGGACAUGUACAAUAGCUAUCUCUUCUGGCAAUUGGAGAUUGUUGAGGACACGAGCAUCAGUUCUCUAUGAACUAAAUCUUGGCCUCUACUAUUGAUAAGAGCCCUCUCCAUCCAAAUUUUCCCAAAUGUGUGUGCCUCCCCAGAGGGAUACUUAGAGUCAGUAUAGAUAGAUUUUCUUGGUUUUGUAAAUGUCCUAAAGCUUGGCUGAGUGCAAACAGUUCACACCCUUGGACAGACCAAUUAUUAGACCCCCUUCCUGAUUUUACUUUUUUAACAGUCUUUCCAUUAAUCACUGAAUACCUAUUAUGUCUCUUUCUUUUAAUCACCUGGGAGGUUCCAUCUAUGAAUAAGUGCCACCCUGUCUUGAAGGGAGUUUUUCCUAAGUCUGGUUGAACUUUCGUAUGGUAAUUAAUUCGAUUUAAACACGCGUGCUCUCUCGUUUUACGUUUGGAUCCCCCGUUAAAGAGCCUGCUGAAUAAAGUGAAUUAUUAGUACUUAAUAUUAAAUCACCUUUUUCCCAGAAAGAUAGCCUCAUAUUUUAAAAUUUUUGAGUUGGUAAUCUCCCUCCUUGCGUUUUGAUUUAAUAUAGUUUUAACUUGGUGGGUUGUGGCCUGAAGCGGCUGGGGAGUAACUUGAAACCUCAGCUGAAGGGACAGCACAGGCUGGGGCGUGGCCUGAAACAGCUGGGGAGUAACCUGAAACCACAGCCGGAGGGACCUGAGAGGGGAACCAAAGGGGCAGGAUUGGGGGCGCUGAAGGAAGGAAGGUGAUUUAGAGGAUCCCAUGUCUUGGUAGGUAUGGGUUGUCUAGGCAUGGGAACUCUUUCCUUUUUAGAAAGGUUGGUUUCUGAUUUUCUCCCUCCAGAGUCUAAAGGGUAAAGGAGAACUGGUCCCUGCCGCCAGCAGAGGGCGUAAUCGAUUUUUCCUGGGACACAGGGCUCUUACUGUUAACAUAUUUGAUUAACAGCUGACAAAUUCGCUCUUCAUUAGACUUAAAUUUUGGCCAGAAAAGUGAGGGCUUAAGGAUGGGUUCUCGAACUUAAAUAAAACAACAAUAUUCUAUCAUCUGCUGUUUUUGUUUAUACUUGGUUCUCUUAUUAUUUUUUCAAUACUUUAGCAUAAGCCCCAAGGGGCUAUCAGAAGGAAAUUCAUCACUCUCUAGACUCUUUAGUUUUCCUGUCUUACUUGAAACGUUCCCCAUCUUAGGGAUUAUGGGGAGGAGGCCCAACCCCUCCUGUGAGAUUUCUACCCUCCCCCUUCCUGGAGGCUUACUGAGGCUUUGGGGAAAGGCUCCAACCCAACCUGUUUGGAUUUCUACCCUCCCCCUUCCUCUUUGUCUACUCUGUCUGUUCCUGACUCUAGUUGACAGAUGGCAGCAUGAGGCCAUAGAGAAGACUCACUCACUCCACAUAACCACCAUACUAAGUCCCAUUCAUACACUGUCAGCCUCCAGCUUAUCCCAACCACCUGGGAAAUACUUUGUCACCUUCGCCAAGUCUCCUACCUUAUUCCAUGCACAAGAAUUUCCUGGUCCUCUUAUUGUUGCGGUCUUGCAAGCUUCUCCUCCCCGCUUUGCUGAGAUCCAGACUUAUUUGUCACAAAGCGGGGGGGGGGCCCUGAUCUCCCUCAACCUAGGGGCACGGUAACUAGACAGUAGGAUGCGUCCCCUCCGGGUGGGGUGACCGAAGGCCCCCUUCCCAAAGGAGAAGAUUCGAGCCCCAAAGUUGGGCUCCAGAACUGUUAGGAAUAACGCUCAAAAUCUUAAGGAAAUUGAACACUUGAACAAAGGAUUCUUAGCAAAGCAAUUUUACUUCUGCGCAGAGAGGUGCCUCCUUGUCCAGUCGCCAUGAGAGCACACCUGAAAAAGGGGCACGAGAGCCUUUACUCCUGACACAAGUACUGCCCCUGUACCCUUUCUCCAUUGGCCAGGGUCAGGUCGUACAAUCUAAACUAAUCCUGGUUGGCUAAACAUUGGAUUUUUUUUAGAUAAGGUGGGCACGUAAAAAAGGCAGAGAAUAAAGGGGAAGGGGUGUCUGUAAUGAGCUAAAAAGUUAGUCCUCUUUCCAAAUAAGGAAAGGAAUGUGAGCAGGUACAGAUACCACCUGGUACUGUGGCAUGCCUGGGCAUGUAACAAAGGAAAAAAGAGAAAAAAGGAGAAAAAGGAAAAAAGGUGGAGGGAUUA